GGGUUGUGAGGUUAAGCGACUAAGCGUACACGGUGGAUGCCCUGGCAGUCAGAGGCGAUGAAGGACGUGCUAAUCUGCGAUAAGCGUCGGUAAGGUGAUAUGAACCGUUAUAACCGGCGAUUUCCGAAUGGGGAAACCCAGUGUGAUUCGUCACACUAUCAUUAACUGAAUCCAUAGGUUAAUGAGGCGAACCGGGGGAACUGAAACAUCUAAGUACCCCGAGGAAAAGAAAUCAACCGAGAUUUCCCCAGUAGCGGCGAGCGAACGGGGAGCAGCCCAGAGCCUGAAUCAGUGUGUGUGUUAGUGGAAGCGUCUGGAAAGGCGUGCGAUACAGGGUGACAGCCCCGUACACAAAAAUGCACAUAUUGUGAGCUCGAUGAGUAGGGCGGGACACGUGGUAUCCUGUCUGAAUAUGGGGGGACCAUCCUCCAAGGCUAAAUACUCCUGACUGACCGAUAGUGAACCAGUACCGUGAGGGAAAGGCGAAAAGAACCCCGGCGAGGGGAGUGAAAAAGAACCUGAAACCGUGUACGUACAAGCAGUGGGAGCACGCUUAGGCGUGUGACUGCGUACCUUUUGUAUAAUGGGUCAGCGACUUAUAUUCUGUAGCAAGGUUAACCGAAUAGGGGAGCCGAAGGGAAACCGAGUCUUAACUGGGCGUUAAGUUGCAGGGUAUAGACCCGAAACCCGGUGAUCUAGCCAUGGGCAGGUUGAAGGUUGGGUAACACUAACUGGAGGACCGAACCGACUAAUGUUGAAAAAUUAGCGGAUGACUUGUGGCUGGGGGUGAAAGGCCAAUCAAACCGGGAGAUAGCUGGUUCUCCCCGAAAGCUAUUUAGGUAGCGCCUCGUGAAUUCAUCUCCGGGGGUAGAGCACUGUUUCGGCAAGGGGGUCAUCCCGACUUACCAACCCGAUGCAAACUGCGAAUACCGGAGAAUGUUAUCACGGGAGACACACGGCGGGUGCUAACGUCCGUCGUGAAGAGGGAAACAACCCAGACCGCCAGCUAAGGUCCCAAAGUCAUGGUUAAGUGGGAAACGAUGUGGGAAGGCCCAGACAGCCAGGAUGUUGGCUUAGAAGCAGCCAUCAUUUAAAGAAAGCGUAAUAGCUCACUGGUCGAGUCGGCCUGCGCGGAAGAUGUAACGGGGCUAAACCAUGCACCGAAGCUGCGGCAGCGACGCUUAUGCGUUGUUGGGUAGGGGAGCGUUCUGUAAGCCUGCGAAGGUGUGCUGUGAGGCAUGCUGGAGGUAUCAGAAGUGCGAAUGCUGACAUAAGUAACGAUAAAGCGGGUGAAAAGCCCGCUCGCCGGAAGACCAAGGGUUCCUGUCCAACGUUAAUCGGGGCAGGGUGAGUCGACCCCUAAGGCGAGGCCGAAAGGCGUAGUCGAUGGGAAACAGGUUAAUAUUCCUGUACUUGGUGUUACUGCGAAGGGGGGACGGAGAAGGCUAUGUUGGCCGGGCGACGGUUGUCCCGGUUUAAGCGUGUAGGCUGGUUUUCCAGGCAAAUCCGGAAAAUCAAGGCUGAGGCGUGAUGACGAGGCACUACGGUGCUGAAGCAACAAAUGCCCUGCUUCCAGGAAAAGCCUCUAAGCAUCAGGUAACAUCAAAUCGUACCCCAAACCGACACAGGUGGUCAGGUAGAGAAUACCAAGGCGCUUGAGAGAACUCGGGUGAAGGAACUAGGCAAAAUGGUGCCGUAACUUCGGGAGAAGG
This 1712-nucleotide ribosomal RNA is filed under the name Escherichia coli. RNAcentral describes it as "partial 23S ribosomal RNA". It matches the Rfam family "Bacterial large subunit ribosomal RNA", at positions 1 to 1746 of the family's 2925-position model. The record is from RNAcentral. Lineage: Bacteria; Pseudomonadati; Pseudomonadota; Gammaproteobacteria; Enterobacterales; Enterobacteriaceae.